This is a long non-coding RNA of Xenia sp. Carnegie-2017, 228 nucleotides long. RefSeq lists it as uncharacterized. The record is from RefSeq and is a predicted model, not a curated record. Lineage: Eukaryota; Metazoa; Cnidaria; Anthozoa; Malacalcyonacea; Xeniidae. The transcript has 4 exons.
UUUUCACUUUUUCCAAAGUGUACAGGUGAAAGAUGUUAGUUUGCCUCGAGAAUCAGAAAAUGGAAGGUUGAAGGGUUUUGGUUAUGCAGAGUUUGAUGAAAUGCAUGUUUUUAAAAGCUUUGGAACUUGAUGAUCGGACUUUAAAGGGAAGGCGUAUUCGCGUUGAUGUGGCUGGACAAAGUCAGGGCACUGAUAAAAGAAAGACAGCAGAGUUCGUGAUCAACCUGC